UUAAGUGAAAUGAUACCUGCCAGAAUACCAGCCCUGUCAAACUGAAGCCUGCUGUGACUGUCUACAGCACCAGGCCUCUAUGUGGUGUGAGCAUAAAUCAGGACCAGCUGUGGGAAAGAGCCUGCUCUGGGUCAGCAGAUCUCUUCUUCACCUGGGGACGCCUUGCACGCAUUAUACUUCUGAGUUUCUGUACUGAGGUCUCUUCAUCACUGCAACAUAGCUCCCAGAAAACCACAUGCAUACUGUGUCAUCCUUCAUGAAAUCUAGUUUCAUUUGAAGACAGAAGCAGAGGAGAGUUGUGUUUGUUAGGGCACAGGCUCUGGAAUCCAAUAGGUGUAUAACCUGGCUUGCAAAAGCCUCCUGACAGCACAGAUAGGAGCAUCUGUUGUGUGGGUUGUAAUCUCUGUGCACAUCAAAUCCUCUCUGGGAUUCUGGUGAUUUUGGUUGUAGUUUGACAGCUAUUAGCCUGUCUUCAUUAAUAUAACACAGUAUACAGGAAACACGGUGUUCAGAUUCCUGCUCAAGCAUGUAAUGCAUUUGUGAAAUGAAUUGUGAUUUAUAUUGUACUCAUCUCCUUGGGUUUCUUUAUAAGUUCUCAAUGUUUUAUUUCACACUCCACAUUUCCCUGCUGAGCCUGUCAA
RNAcentral lists this long non-coding RNA (641 nucleotides) under Anser brachyrhynchus (Pink-footed goose). RNAcentral describes it as "lncRNA (ENSABRG00000015870.1)". The record is from RNAcentral. Lineage: Eukaryota; Metazoa; Chordata; Aves; Anseriformes; Anatidae.